UCCUCCAUAGCUCAGUCGGCAGAGCACUCGGCUGUUAACCGAGGUGUCGCAGGUUCGAGCCCUGCUGGAGGAG
Molecule: transfer RNA, 73 nt
Filed under: Ornithinimicrobium humiphilum
Lineage: Bacteria; Bacillati; Actinomycetota; Actinomycetes; Micrococcales; Ornithinimicrobiaceae
Rfam family: tRNA
About the family: Transfer RNA (tRNA) molecules are approximately 80 nucleotides in length. Their secondary structure includes four short double-helical elements and three loops (D, anti-codon, and T loops).
Source: Rfam by way of RNAcentral